UGAAUACCUCUCGUCGUUUAUACGAAGAGAUAUUCCUUAUGCACGGAUCGAUGCUUUCAGAGUGUGUGCACAAUUUUUGCUUUCAGAAUACCCCCGUCUCGCCUGAAGAUUCACGUUGUUUGGAGUUUGGACUUAUUGAUAACCCCUCAAACCCGAAUCCUCAAACUCAAACCCUGCAAUCUGGUUGUGGCGGACUUCGAUCCCACGUCUUUCCGUCUUUGCAAAAACCACCCGGAGACUUUACCAGCAUGCCACCUGGCGCCUUCAAAUGACUCAUACCAAGCAGUUUUUCUUCUUCUCCAUUUUUUGCUAGCAGAAUUUUACUGUAGUGGAGAGUGGAGAGCGUAGAGAGCGCCGUGUGUUCAUGGCGGCAGAGAAUAGCUGAAAUCGACACAAUAAAAUAUUAGCUUUUGUUAACCUAAUUCAUUCCUCCCGUUUCGUUGCUACAGGAGCUUUAUAUGAAUGUCUGCUCCGCACCGGAUUUUCUGCGUUUUCGCACUCAGUGUAUCAUCAUCGGCACCUAAGCCCAAGAGUUUUCUUCCAUUUAAUUGUUAUUCUUUACAUUCUUUUUCAGCUCGUUUUGCAGUAGCUGAGGCGCUCAGAUUUUCUAGCUCUGUCUCUGACUCAUCCAUGCCGAAUCGCCGGGGAAAAGCAGGAAUAAGAGAACAGAAGUGGAAAGAGAAUCCAAAAUAUGAUAGACCAUCUUUGUCCACGGAGAGUACACCUAUGAUUACUGAAGCUAUUGCAGAUAAUCUGAUUGGGUUGAAUAUAAAUGAAAAUGGUGGACAAGACUCUCUUUCAUUCUCACCUAUAAAAUUUGAAAGUGCUCAAAUGGCGAGCCAUGUAUCUGUCAAAGGUCAGACAGCUAUUUGGAAGCCAAGAUCAUAUGGGACGAUGAGUGGAGCUACAGCUGUUGAAGUUAAAACUGUAGCUCCUGAUCAAACUUCGGUUGCAGUUGACAUCAAGGCAAAUGAUGUUGAAACCGCGGCAAGCAGCAAAGGUAGCUCUGGGUUGAGUAAGUUAUUGAAAGGUCCCCUGGGAGCAAAUUUUUCUGUGGACAACUUCACGUACUCUUUGGCACAAAUUAGGGCAACCUUUUAUCCAAAAUUUGAGAAUGAGAAGUCAGACCAAGAGGUUAGAACAAGAAUGAUUGAGAUGGUCUCUUGUGGCCUGGCUACAUUAGAGGUCUCACUAAAACACUCUGGGUCUCUUUUUAUGUAUGCGGGGCAUGAAGGUGGAGCAUAUGCCAAGAACAGCUUCGGGAAUAUAUACACUGCCGUUGGUGUUUUUGUUCUUGGGCGGAUGUUUUCUGAGGCAUGGGGCACUGAAGCAAGCAGAAAGCAAGCAGAAUUCAAUGACUUUCUUGAGAGGAACCGUAUGUGCAUAUCAAUGGAAUUAGUAACUGCUGUUCUAGGAGAUCAUGGACAACGGCCUCAGGAAGAUUAUGUUGUAGUGACAGCAGUAACAGAAUUGGGCCAUGGGAAACCAAAGUUCUACUCCACACCCGAUAUAAUUGCGUUUUGUAGAAAGUGGCGCUUGCCAACCAACCAUGUGUGGUUGUUCUCAACAAGGAAAUCUGUUGCCUCUUUUUUUGCUGCAUAUGAUGCGUUAUGUGAGGAAGGAACUGCAACACCUGUUUGUAAGGCUCUUGAUGAAGUUGCUGAUAUUUCUGUACCAGGAUCAAAAGACCAUAUAAAGGUGCAAGGUGAAAUCUUGGAGGGUCUUGUGGCUCGUAUAGUUAGUCCUGAGAGCUCAAAACAUGUGGAGAAAGUUUUGAAAGAAUUUCCUUCACCUCCAUUAGAUGGAGCUGGUCAGAACUUAGGGCCAAGCCUUCGGGAAAUAUGCGCAACUAAUCGGUCAGAUGAAAAUCAGCAAGUUAAGGCACUGCUUCAAAGUGUUGGGACCUCUUUCUGCCCUGCUUACUCAGAUUGGUUUGGAAAUAGAAAAGGUGAUGUCCAUUCAAGAAAUGCUGAUCGAUCCAUCCUUUCAAAGUUUUUGCAAGCACAUCCUGCUGAUUUUGCCACUACCAAAUUGCAGGAAAUGAUUCGUCUGAUGAGAGAAAAACGUUACCCAGCUGCUUUCAAGUGUUACUAUAACUUCCACAAGUUAGACUCUUCGGAUGAUGACAACCUUCACUUUAAGAUGGUUAUCCAUGUGCACAGUGAUUCAGCUUUUCGACGAUACCAGAAGGAGAUGAGGUAUAAACCAGGAUUGUGGCCAUUGUAUAGAGGUUUCUUUGUUGAUGUGAACUUAUUCAAGGUGAAUAAGGAGAAAGCUGCUGAAAUUGCAAAAGAUUGCAACAUACUAGAAAAAAGCAUCAAUGGUAACUCCAACCCAAAAGCAUCAGGAACCGAUUUGGCUGAUGAAGAUGCAAAUCUAAUGAUCAAGUUAAAAUUUCUUACUUAUAAGUUACGAACUUUCUUGAUACGCAAUGGCUUAUCCAUUCUCUUCAAAGAAGGUCCAUCUGCUUACAAAGCAUACUACUUGAGGCAAAUGAAAACAUGGAACACAUCAGCUGCAAAGCAGAGGGAACUCAGCAAGAUGCUAGACGAAUGGGCUGUGUACAUAAGGAGGAAAUGUGGGAACAAACAACUGUCAUCAUCCAUUUAUCUUAGUGAAGCUGAGCCUUUCCUGGAGCAGUAUGCAAAGCGCAGUCCAGAGAAUCAAGCUCUGAUAGGAUCUGCUGGAAACUUAAUAAGAGCUGAAGAUUUUCUGGCCAUUGUUGAAGGAGGCAGGGAUGAAGAGGGUGACCUUGAGACAGAGCGGGAAGUAUCACCUUCAAGUCAGAGUCCGACAGUGAAGGACAUAGUUCCAAAAAGUGAGGGUCUGAUUGUAUUCUUUCCAGGUAUACCAGGUUGUGCUAAGUCUGCAUUGUGCAAGGAAAUUCUAAGUUCUCCAGGUGGACUUGGGGAUGAACGACCUGUAAAUAGCCUCAUGGGUGACCUAAUCAAAGGAAGAUAUUGGCAGAAGGUUGCAGAGGAACGCAGGAGAAAACCAUAUAGCAUUACUCUUGCUGACAAAAAUGCACCUAAUGAAGAGGUCUGGAGGCAGAUUGAGGACAUGUGUCGAAGCACAAGGGCUUCUGCUGUUCCAGUGAUUCCUGAUUCUGAAGGAACUGAUACAAAUCCGUUUUCACUUGAUGCAUUAGCUGUUUUCAUUUUCCGUGUGCUUCAGCGAGUUAAUCACCCGGGAAAUCUUGACAAAGCAUCUGCAAAUGCUGGUUAUGUCCUGCUGAUGUUUUACCACCUUUAUGAGGGCAAGAAUCGCAAAGAAUUUGAGAGCGAACUAGUUGAGCGUUUUGGAGCCCUUGUCAAGAUGCCAUUGCUCAAUGCAGAUAGGAAUCCUUUACCUGAUCCUGUGAAAUCUGUACUAGAAGAAGGGUUAAGUCUUUACAGCCUUCACACCAACAAGCAUGGAAGAUUGGAUUCCACUAAAGGAGCAUAUGCGGCAGAGUGGGCUAAAUGGGAGAAGAAAUUACGGGAAGUCCUAUUUGGGAAUGCAGAUUAUUUGAAUUCUGUUCAGGUUCCAUUUGAUUAUUCUGUUCAGAAAGUGUUGGAGCAAUUAAAAAUUGUCGCAAAAGGUGAUUAUACAACAUCCAAUACAGAGAAGAGGAAGUUUGGAACUAUUGUUUUUGCAGCUGUUACUUUACCUGUUGCAGAGAUCAGUAGCCUUCUGAGUAAGAUGGCCGAGAAGAAUCCUCAGGUUAAAGGUUUUCUCAAGGAUAAAGAUAUGGAGAAUUCCCUCAAGAAGGCUCAUGUGACUCUUGCUCAUAAGAGGAGCCAUGGUGUCACCGCUGUUGCCAGUUAUGGCGUGUUCCUCCAUGGAAAUGUCCCAGUUUAUCUGACAGCACUGCUCUUUUCUGAUAAAUUGGCUGCACUUGAGGGAGACCUUGGCUCUGUCGAUGGUGAGAAAAUAAUCUCAAAAAACCAGUGGCCCCAUGUCACCAUAUGGACUGGAGAAGGAGUUGCAGCCAAGGAAGCAAACACGCUACCACAGCUUCUUUCCGAGGGGAAGGCAACACGCAUCAACAUAGACCCACCAAUCGAAAUAUUAGGAACAUUGGAUUUUUAUUGAAUUCUUGCACCUUCAGCCUUCAACAACCAGCUUAGAGGUGUACAUUUUAAGUCAAUUUAGGCUGUGCUUGGCUUGAAGGAAAAGAUGGGGAAAAGUCUGCGACGUGCAAUCUGCUUCGAUCUUCCAUUUUUGAAGACUUCAGAGUUUUACAACAGGUUCUCAUGGGUGAUGUAUCUCUAGACCCCGGACUUCGCCAUACGAAGAAUGGUAACGUGCGACGAUUAGAACUGAUGAGACAAGUGAUCUUAUAUUUUGUUUAAUUGAUGUAAGAAAAGGUGCAAUCGGUCUGACCAGGUUAUAAAUGUCGUUCUUAUUUCUUAAGAUGGCGGAAGCUCAUCUGCGACCACGUCAUACAAAUUACAGGUGAUAUGCGUUUUUUAGCCCAUGUUUGGGAGUGCUUAAUUUUAAGCGCUUAUUGAAAUAAGCACUUACUUGAGGUCAGGAUAAGUGGACAACACCAAUAAAUACUUGUUAGCAUUUGGUAAGUAAACCCCACUAAAUGCUUAUGAAUAUAAAUAAAUUUAUUUUGAC
This is an RNA transcript of Nelumbo nucifera (sacred lotus), 4605 nucleotides long. It is a transcript of the gene named tRNA ligase 1-like, with no coding region annotated. The record is from RefSeq and is a predicted model, not a curated record. Lineage: Eukaryota; Viridiplantae; Streptophyta; Magnoliopsida; Proteales; Nelumbonaceae.